GAGUUUGAUCCUGGCUCAGGAUGAACGCUAGCUACAGGCUUAACACAUGCAAGUCGAGGGGCAGCAUGGUCUUAGCUUGCUAAGGCCGAUGGCGACCGGCACACGGGUGAGUAACACGUAUCCAACCUGCCGAUAACUCGGGGAUAGCCUUUCGAAAGAAAGAUUAAUACCCGAUGGUAUAAUCAGACCGCAUGGUUUGAUUAUUAAAGAAUUUCGAUAAUCGAUGGGGAUGCGUUCCAUUAGUUUGUUGGCGGGGUAACGGCCCACCAAGACAUCGAUGGAUAGGGGUUCUGAGAGGAAGGUCCCCCACAUUGGAACUGAGACACGGUCCAAACUCCUACGGGAGGCAGCAGUGAGGAAUAUUGGUCAAUGGACGAGAGUCUGAACCAGCCAAGUAGCGUGAAGGAUGACUGCCCUAUGGGUUGUAAACUUCUUUUAUAUGGGAAUAAAGUGAGCCACGUGUGGCUUUUUGUAUGUACCAUACGAAUAAGGAUCGGCUAACUCCGUGCCAGCAGCCGCGGUAAUAC
This 527-nucleotide ribosomal RNA is filed under the name uncultured bacterium. Its description in RNAcentral is "bacterial SSU rRNA". It matches the Rfam family "Bacterial small subunit ribosomal RNA", at positions 9 to 526 of the family's 1533-position model. The record is from RNAcentral.